UAUUGGACAAUGGGGGGAACCCUGAUCCAGCCAUGCCGCGUGUGUGAAGAAGGCCUUAUGGUUGUAAAGCACUUUAAGCGAGGAGGAGGCUCUCUUGGUUAAUACCCAAGAUGAGUGGACGUUACUCGCAGAAUAAGCACCGGCUAACUCUGUGCCAGCAGCCGCGGUAAUACAGAGGGUGCGAGCGUUAAUCGGAUUUACUGGGCGUAAAGCGUGCGUAGGCGGCUUUUUAAGUCGGAUGUGAAAUCCCCGAGCUUAACUUGGGAAUUGCAUUCGAUACUGGGAAGCUAGAGUAUGGGAGAGGAUGGUAGAAUUCCAGGUGUAGCGGUGAAAUGCGUAGAGAUCUGGAGGAAUACCGAUGGCGAAGGCAGCCAUCUGGCCUAAUACUGACGCUGAGGUACGAAAGCAUGGGGAGCAAACAGG
This 423-nucleotide ribosomal RNA is filed under the name uncultured bacterium. RNAcentral's name for it is "bacterial SSU rRNA". It matches the Rfam family "Bacterial small subunit ribosomal RNA", at positions 362 to 776 of the family's 1533-position model. The record is from RNAcentral.